ACUCAAAUGAAUUGACGGGGACCCGCACAACCAGUGGAGCAUGUGGUUUAAUUCGUUACGAACCGAAGAACCUUACCCGGGUUUGACAUGCUAGAUGCAAUCCGCCAGAGAUGGUGGACUUCUUCGAGAGUUCUAGCACAGGUGUUGCAUGGCUAUCGUCAGCUCGUGCCAUGAGGUGUUCCCUUAAGUGGGGUAACGAGCGCAACCCCCGUCGUAUGUUAAAUUAUUCAUACGAGACUGCUUUGUUUUACAAGGAGGAAGGAGGGGAAGACGUUAAGUCAGCAUGGCCUUUAUAUCCGGGGCGACGCACAUGCUACAAUGAAGCCGACAAUGGGUUGCCAAGCCGUAAGGCGGAGCUAAUCCCAUCAAACGGCUUCUCAGUGGGGAUUGAGGGCUGCAACCCGCCCUCAUGAACGCGGAAUUGGUAGUAAUCGCAAAUCAGCCAAGUUGCGGUGAAUACGUUCUCGGGUCUUGCACACACCGCCCGU
Molecule: ribosomal RNA, 488 nt
Filed under: uncultured bacterium
Lineage: Bacteria
Description: partial 16S ribosomal RNA
Rfam family: Bacterial small subunit ribosomal RNA
Source: RNAcentral